This 91-nucleotide non-coding RNA is filed under the name chicken gut metagenome. Its description in RNAcentral is "TPP riboswitch (THI element)". It matches the Rfam family "TPP riboswitch aptamer (THI element)", at positions 10 to 89 of the family's 105-position model. Rfam says of the family: Vitamin B(1) in its active form thiamin pyrophosphate (TPP) is an essential coenzyme that is synthesised by coupling of pyrimidine and thiazole moieties in bacteria. The previously detected thiamin-regulatory element, thi box was extended, resulting in a new, highly conserved RNA secondary structure, the THI element, which is widely distributed in eubacteria and also occurs in some archaea. Analysis of operon structures identified a large number of new candidate thiamin-regulated genes, mostly transporters, in various prokaryotic organisms. The record is from RNAcentral.
AUGCAGGGGUGCUGGCGCAAGCCGGCUGAGAUCGAGCGUAUUGCCGCUCAAUCCCUUACACCUGAUCCGGAUAAUGCCGGCGUAGGAAGUC